RNAcentral lists this ribosomal RNA (251 nucleotides) under uncultured bacterium. Its description in RNAcentral is "partial 16S ribosomal RNA". It matches the Rfam family "Bacterial small subunit ribosomal RNA", at positions 524 to 776 of the family's 1533-position model. The record is from RNAcentral.
UACGAAGGGGGCUAGCGUUGCUCGGAAUCACUGGGCGUAAAGCGCACGUAGGCGGAUUGCUAAGUCAGGGGUGAAAUCCUGGAGCUCAACUCCAGAACUGCCUUUGAUACUGGCGAUCUUGAGUCCGGGAGAGGUGAGUGGAACUGCGAGUGUAGAGGUGAAAUUCGUAGAUAUUCGCAAGAACACCAGUGGCGAAGGCGGCUCACUGGCCCGGUACUGACGCUGAGGUGCGAAAGCGUGGGAGCAACAGG